GUCUGCAGCUGUAUCACCCUGAACGCAUCCGAUAUCUCUGAUCUUGGAAGUUAAGCAGGGUUGGGCUUGGUUAGUACUUAGAUGGAAGAAAUCAAUAAGCUGAACUUA
RNAcentral lists this ribosomal RNA (108 nucleotides) under Octodon degus (degu). The record is from RNAcentral. Lineage: Eukaryota; Metazoa; Chordata; Mammalia; Rodentia; Octodontidae.